This 263-nucleotide small RNA is filed under the name Otolemur garnettii (small-eared galago). RNAcentral's name for it is "Metazoan signal recognition particle RNA (ENSOGAG00000030505.1)". The record is from RNAcentral. Lineage: Eukaryota; Metazoa; Chordata; Mammalia; Primates; Galagidae.
CCCAGGCGCUGUGACAGGCGCCUGUAGUCCCAGCUACUUGGGAGGCUGAGGCAAGAGAAUUACUUGAGCCCAGGAGUUGGAGGUUGCUGUGAGCUGUGAUACCAUAGCACUCUUCCCAGGGCAACAGCUUGUGGCUCUGUCUCGGGGGAAAUAAAAUUUUUUUUUUUUUGAGACACAGCCUCAAGCUGUCCCCCUGGAUAGAGUGCCGUGGCAUCACAGCUCACAGCAACCUCCAACUCCUGGGCUCAAGUGAGUCUCCUGCC